UACGAAGGGGGCUAGCGUUGUUCGGAAUUACUGGGCGUAAAGCGUAUGCAGGCGGAUCAUUAAGUCGGGGGUGAAAUCCCGAGGCUCAACCUCGGAACUGCCUUCGAUACUGAUGAUCUUGAGUCCGGGAGAGGUGAGUGGAAUUCCGAGUGUAGAGGUGAAAUUCGUAGAUAUUCGGAAGAACACCAGUGGCGAAGGCGACUCACUGGACACAUAUUGACGCUGAGGUGCGAAAGCGUGGGGAGCAAAUAGG
RNAcentral lists this ribosomal RNA (253 nucleotides) under uncultured bacterium. RNAcentral's name for it is "partial 16S ribosomal RNA". It matches the Rfam family "Bacterial small subunit ribosomal RNA", at positions 524 to 776 of the family's 1533-position model. The record is from RNAcentral.